UAUCGGAACGUGCCCAAUCGUGGGGGAGUAACGUAGAGAAAUUUACGCUAAUACCGCAUACGAUCUAAGGAUGAAAGCGGGGGAUCGCAAGACCUCGCGCGAUUGGAGCGGCUGAUAUCAGAUUAGCUUGUUGGUGAGGUAAAAGCUCACCAAGGCGACGAUCUGUAGCUGGUUUGAGAGAACGACCAGCCACACUGGGACUGAGACACGGCCCAG
RNAcentral lists this ribosomal RNA (216 nucleotides) under uncultured bacterium. RNAcentral's name for it is "partial 16S ribosomal RNA". It matches the Rfam family "Bacterial small subunit ribosomal RNA", at positions 116 to 334 of the family's 1533-position model. The record is from RNAcentral.